Molecule: ribosomal RNA, 857 nt
Filed under: Homoporus sp. 1317_09
Lineage: Eukaryota; Metazoa; Arthropoda; Insecta; Hymenoptera; Pteromalidae
Description: eukaryotic LSU rRNA
Rfam family: Eukaryotic large subunit ribosomal RNA
Source: RNAcentral
AAGACUUUGAAGAGAGAGUUCAAGAGUACGUGAAACCGUUCAGGGGUAAACCUGAGAAACCCAAAAGAUCGAAUGGGGAGAUUCAUCGUCAGCGGCGUUGGCUUCCGUGUGGAUCGCGAUGGCCGGGACCUCGGUUCCGCGUCACGCGUCCGCUGCGGUAUGUCCAACGUCGUCGGCGUGCACUUCUCCCCUAGUAGGACGUCGCGACCCGUUGGGUGCCGGCCUACGGCCCGGUUGGUCGACUGUCGCGUCGCGUUUACGCGUGCACGCGGCAGACCACCGGUUGCCCGGCCGGCUGCCCGGCGGUAUAGAUCGCUAUAAAACGGUAUUGGGCCGCAUUAAGUGCGUUCUGGCUCGUCGGCAGGCUCGUCUCGCUCGGAUUUACGGACCUAGUGCCGUUGCCGGGCGCUUGGCGUGGCCGUUAGUCGACGAUGUCCUCGGACUGGCUCUUACAUUCGAACGGAUUUACCGGUCGGCGACGCUACUGCUUUGGGUACUUUCAGGACCCGUCUUGAAACACGGACCAAGGAGUCUAACAUGUGCGCGAGUCAUUGGGACUUUUUAAGCCUAAAGGCGCAAUGAAAGUGAAGGUCGGCCCUAGCGUCGACCGAGGGAGGAUGGCUCGCGUCACGAUGCGAGCCCGCACUCCCGGGGCGUCUCGUGCUCAUUGCGAGCAGAGGCGCACCCAGAGCGUACACGUUGGGACCCGAAAGAUGGUGAACUAUGCCUGGUCAGGACGAAGUCAGGGGAAACCCUGAUGGAGGUCCGUAGCGAUUCUGACGUGCAAAUCGAUCGUCGGAACUGGGUAUAGGGGCGAAAGACUAAUCGAACCAUCUAGUAGCUGGUUCCCUCCGAAG